GGGCGUACAUGCGUCAUUUCCCCAAACAAAGCUAUUCAGUCAAACAUGGCCGGCGAAGAGCUAGAAUUCCUCUCACUGAUCGGACUUAUAUUAAGCAUAAUUCUGCGCACACGAAGACGCAUUAGAGACCUGGAUGACGAAGCUCAAUUGAUAAUAAAGGAAUCACGGAAGCGGUGUGAAGCGCUCCGUCGCGCGUCUAGGAGACGGUACCGUAGGAGGCGAGCUGCCAUGGUUCGCCGCAUGCUGCAGGAGACAGCGAUCCGGCGUAUAUGGAAACAUUGACGACCAAGUGGCGAAGUUUUCUGGUCAAACGCGUUGAAAAACUUUGGAGAUGAGAAGUAGUAUCAACAUUUUCGAAUGUCUCGCAGGACCUUCAACUACCUGUUAAGUUUGGUUAGGCCUGUUUUAACACGGAAAACUACAAACUGGCGCAGGCCUUACGAACCUUCCCUCAGGCUAGCCGUUGUUAUCUGGUGGUAUGCCACACCGAGCGAAUACAGAACCAUAAGCUGCCUGUUUGGUGUUGGUAUGUCCGCUGUCUGUGUAUUUUUGCGGGAGGUGACAAGUGCUCUGAACGACUGUUUGCUAGAAAGUUUCAUUUCAUUACCAAAGCAGGACCAGCUACAGCUCACACUGGAUGGAUUAGCUGCAUGCGGCUACCCAAUGUGUGGUGGAGCUAUAGAUGGAAGCCACAUUCCAAUCAGCUUCAUAUCACAACAGAAAAGGCUGGCAUCCCAUUGUUCUACAGGCUGUUGUUGACCACCGUUUCUGUUUCACAGAUGUUUAUGUUGGUUGGCCUGGUCGAACACAUGACGCCAGAGUACUCAGCAACUCUACCAUCUUCAUCAAAGCCGAACAACAAGACGGCUACCUGUUCCCCGUGAGAUGUCCAGAGACAUCAAUGGUGUAGAGGUACCGGUUCAUCUGAUCGGGGAUGCGGCAUAUCCACUGAAGAAGUGGCUGAUGAAGGGGUUCACACAACACCAUCGUCUGACGCCUGAACAAAGCACCUUCAACUAUCGUUUAAGCUCUGCUCGGAUGGUUGUUGAAAAUGCAUUUGGGCGGCUUAAGGGGCGCUGGAAGUGUCUGGCCAAGCGUUGUGAUGUGGACAUUCACAUUAUGCCGGACAUUGUGAUUGCUUGUUGUAUUCUUCACAAUGUCUGUGAGAUCAACAAAGACAAUUACCUUGCUGACUGGAAUACUGAUGCCACUGAACUACCUGAACCUAAUGCAGAAGCUGUGUAUGUACCUCCAGUUGGAGGGGCACAGCUAAUUCGAGAGGCAAUCAUGCCUGUACUUUAACUGCAUUUCAAAGUGAUUGUGCUUCUUGUCCAAAACUGUGUUAUACAUUUUGGGAUUGUAACUAUGUCAGCUUCCUCUAAUUAAAAAGCAUCAAACUUUUAA
This is a long non-coding RNA of Nothobranchius furzeri (turquoise killifish), 1404 nucleotides long. RefSeq lists it as uncharacterized. NCBI's taxonomy places the organism in Eukaryota, Metazoa, Chordata, Actinopteri, Cyprinodontiformes, Nothobranchiidae. The record is from RefSeq and is a predicted model, not a curated record.